GCUCGAAUGGCCAAGCUGGUAAGGUGUUGCACUAGUACUAGUACUAGUAAUGCAAAGAUCCACGGUUCAAGUCCGUGUUCGAGCA
This is a non-coding RNA of Cenococcum geophilum 1.58, 85 nucleotides long. NCBI's taxonomy places the organism in Eukaryota, Fungi, Ascomycota, Dothideomycetes, Gloniales, Gloniaceae. The record is from the annotation of a GenBank genome assembly.